GACGAACGCUGGCGGCGUGCCUAAUACAUGCAAGUAGAACGCUGAAGAGAGGAGCUUGCUCUUCUUGGAUGAGUUGCGAACGGGUGAGUAACGCGUAGGUAACCUGCCUUGUAGCGGGGGAUAACUAUUGGAAACGAUAGCUAAUACCGCAUAACAAUGAGUGACACAUGUCAUUUAUUUGAAAGGGGCAAUUGCUCCACUACAAGAUGGACCUGCGUUGUAUUAGCUAGUAGGUGAGGUAACGGCUCACCUAGGCGACGAUACAUAGCCGACCUGAGAGGGUGAUCGGCCACACUGGGACUGAGACACGGCCCAGACUCCUACGGGAGGCAGCAGUAGGGAAUCUUCGGCAAUGGGGGCAACCCUGACCGAGCAACGCCGCGUGAGUGAAGAAGGUUUUCGGAUCGUAAAGCUCUGUUGUAAGUCAAGAACGAGUGUGAGAGUGGAAAGUUCACACUGUGACGGUAGCUUACCAGAAAGGGACGGCUAACUACGUGCCAGCAGCCGCGGUAAUACGUAGGUCCCGAGCGUUGUCCGGAUUUAUUGGGCGUAAAGCGAGCGCAGGCGGUUUGAUAAGUCUGAAGUUAAAGGCUGUGGCUCAACCAUAGUUCGCUUUGGAAACUGUCAAACUUGAGUGCAGAAGGGGAGAGUGGAAUUCCAUGUGUAGCGGUGAAAUGCGUAGAUAUAUGGAGGAACACCGGUGGCGAAAGCGGCUCUCUGGUCUGUAACUGACGCUGAGGCUCGAAAGCGCGGGGAGCGAACAGG
RNAcentral lists this ribosomal RNA (765 nucleotides) under uncultured Streptococcus sp. RNAcentral's name for it is "bacterial SSU rRNA". It matches the Rfam family "Bacterial small subunit ribosomal RNA", at positions 28 to 776 of the family's 1533-position model. The record is from RNAcentral. Lineage: Bacteria; Bacillati; Bacillota; Bacilli; Lactobacillales; Streptococcaceae.